CCAAUAGCGUAUAUUAAAGUUGUUGCAGUUAAAAAGCUCGUAGUCGAAUUUCGGGAUCAAUAUGUCGGUCGUGCCUCCGGUACGUACUGGCAUCAUUGAUUUCUCCCUUCUGACGAACCAUGAUGUCAUUAAUUUGGUGUCAUGGGGAGUCAGGACUGUUACUUUGAAAAAAUUAGAGUGUUUAAAGCAGGCUCACGCUUGAAUACAUUAGCAUGGAAUAAUGAAAUAGGACGUUUGACCCUAUUUUGUUGGUUUCUAGGAUCAACGUAAUGAUUAAUAGGGAUAGUUGGGGGCAUUAGUAUUCAAUUGUCAGAGGUGAAAUUCUUGGAUUUAUUGAAGACUAACUACUGCGAAAGCAUUUGCCAAGGAUGUUUUCAUUAAUCAAGAACGAAAGUUAGGGGAUCGAAGACGAUCAGAUACCGUCGUAGUCUUAACCAUAAACUAUGCCGACUAGGGAUCGGAUGAUGUUAAUUUUUUAAUGACUCAUUCGGCGCCUUACG
Molecule: ribosomal RNA, 500 nt
Filed under: uncultured Glomeromycotina
Lineage: Eukaryota; Fungi; Glomeromycota
Description: partial small subunit ribosomal RNA
Rfam family: Eukaryotic small subunit ribosomal RNA
Source: RNAcentral